Long non-coding RNA from Thunnus maccoyii (southern bluefin tuna), 4649 nucleotides. RefSeq lists it as uncharacterized. The record is from RefSeq and is a predicted model, not a curated record. The transcript has 3 exons. NCBI's taxonomy places the organism in Eukaryota, Metazoa, Chordata, Actinopteri, Scombriformes, Scombridae.
AUGUUUCAUCUGUUAAAGAAUGAAAAUUUAAAAUGUUAAAAUAUUCAGUUAACUUAAGUUAACAUUAAUUGACCCUUGAUAAAUAACACUGCCGUGCUGUGAUGUUAACAUCAUCACUGUGUGCAGGAUGACAUGCAAACAGCAUCUGUGUUGACAGACUUGCUGCUUCACUGCUGCUUGUCUCAUUGUCAGUCAGAGAGUGGAGCCAAACGGUCAUCGCCCAGAAGUGACAUUAAAAACUGCCCAUUUCAAAGCAUUUAUUUAACAAAAGUUAAUAUACUUAACAAUUUGUUAAUAACAUAAUAAUAAUUUCAUACAGACUGUUGUACUGUGAGAGGCGUAAAAUAAAUCAUAUUGUAUGUUUUCGCUGCUCUAGUUAUUUCCCCACCCAUGCUGCUGUCUGGACUGGAGCUUGCCCAGUUCCCAUUUUUAAACAUAGUGAGCGCACCUCGCAAACUUACAGAAAUCAUACAGGAACAAAUGGCAAGGGGUUCUCUGUCUUGAUUGGGGAUGAAAGAGGGAGAAAUGAAGAUGACACAGAUAGAUAUUUUAUUCAGGACCUGGAAGUAUUUAUUCAGCAAUCAGCGGUAAAAGGUCAUCCGUACGGAACGUUGUUGUGUAAGGAACAUGGUUGGUCUAUGUUACAAUAACUUAUUAACUUGUAAGUUAUUGUUAGAAGACAUAAAAUUCAUAUGUUAGAGUUUUUGCUUGCCUGCUGCUGCUUCUAAGGAGUUUGUAGCUAUAACUUAAAAGUUUGCGAUGUUGAAAUAAAUAGCAACUGGGUUAGGCCAAGGUUUACAAACUUUAAGCUAACGUUAGCAAGAGCAGGUCAUUUUAUGCUAACGUUAGCAGUCUCCAGCUUGUGUGUAACCUCACAGAUGCUCAAUGUUAAUUUUGGCAAACUUAGCUGUUAUUAGCUCUGUUAAAACAAAUAUAAAAUUAGCAGAAAUGUGUCUAGAGCUUCUAAGGCUUAGGUUGCUUUACUAAAUGGAUAAAGACAGGAGAUUGGAGGAAUGAACUCUGAGAGAGGGAAAUAUAGUGGGAUGGUAUGUGUGUGUGUGUGUGUGCGUGUGUCAGACCAAGCAAAGCAAGGUGUUGUGUUCGUCCUCUCUCAUGAUAAUGUUAACAUCAUGUAGUGUAUGAGAAUGAUGAUUUUAUUGUCUUGGUGCAAAACUGGUCUUGCUAUUCAAGACAACAUAAACCUAAAUUCUCCUUAUGUUUGCUGUCGUUGGACUUCAUGAUUGGUUAGGAUUGAGCAUUUUGGUUUGGUUUUAUUUAAAUAAAGUGCACACUGUAGUUUAGCAGAAGUGAUAGGCAGUUCAGUUGCAUUUCUGAUACAUUAUACCAUACAUAUCAUUGAGUAAAAUAAUAUACCAAUCCCAUAUGCUAUUUUUUCCUAUUUAACAUCUAUAAAAAUGUAAAAGAGUAACUCUUUUGUGCAGUACAAAAUAAUCACAUAGGUUUAUAUUGGCAUAUAAUGUUGAUACAGGUUAUUUUUCCAACAACAGAAAUAUAGAAACUGCCCUUUGCUAUAAUCUAGCUAAAGCUAAUUUAAAUCUGCUUGGAUUUGAUAGUUUGGUUCAGCUGAAUUCUCUGGCUCCUCCCUAAAAGCCUAUUCUUUCUGUCAGCUGCUUAGCCAACUGAAAUACCAGAAAACUGAAUUCCUGUAGUCUCAGUUUUUGCCUAUCACACAUAGCUGGUAGCAGCUUUAACAAGUCUGAUAAAUGACGUUGGAGAAAAGAGGUUGUACUUGAAUAAAAAAUGUAUUUCUUUACUGUGGCAGUAAACAUAAUGGACUGAAAAUGAAUUAAUAAAGUUGUUUGAGACAUAAUGGCUGCAUUCCAACACUAUAGUAAUACAUUCUUCAAGAUGGGAACCUCUGGGAGGUUUUAAAGUUCCUAUUAAUACCAUUUUUAUGCCCAUGACGCAAAUGAUUUAUCUGUCUACAUAUGUACCUGUAGUAACUGUAGUUUUCUGAUUGUAAAUAUAUUUUUAUUUAACUAUUUUGUAAAAUGUAACUCGGACAAGUAACUUGUGUACUGCUCCCCCUUUUAGGGAAAUCCAUCUUCUUACUCAGAAAGUGGAUCAAUUGAAUCAAUCAAUCAUCAAUGAAAUCAAUCAACAAAAAGGUUGAAGAGGUAAUUGAGAAGGUUCAUGCAUGUGGUGGAAGCAGCAGCACAGGCAUCACAAAGAUUCCCUUUGAGCUGUCGGUUCUGGACACUGCAUAAUGAGGAAGUAAGGAAAACUGUCAUCAGGGCAAUGGUAUGCAGCUCAUGAGAAGUGGGGGAAAAGCUUCUUGGAUGUGACGACAUGAAGGGAGCAGAUGCCAGUCUCAUGAGUGAUGAGAGUGAUGGGGACAAAGCUCUAUACGAAUGUUCACCAAAAUGGUGGGCACCAUGGCUGAUAAGGAUUGUAAUGUCCUGCCAGAAGGUGCUGGAUGGGAGGGACUGAAUCUCCGCUCCAUCCGUCACCAUGUUACGCCAGGACGGUAUUCUAAAAGAAUAGCUUCUGCAUCCAUGCAGGAAUAAGGAUGAGUACUGUGUUCCAGAGAGCGAGGAAGACAGGAUGGUUGCAGCUGAAGUUUUACAGCUUGUUAUUAUUGUUAUUGUUCUGCUUUUAUUCUCAGUUUUUUACUUAUUAUUGUUCUUCUACUGUUCUGCCAUUAUUCUAAGUCUUUUUUAAACUUUUGAAAUUGAAAAAAAUUGCAUAUUCAUAGAUUAUGUAUUUUUCAAUGAGGGAGAAUGAAUAGGUGUAAUUUAAAGGAUUUUUUAUGAUCAUAAUCUAUCAAGUCUCCUUGUAACUGACACAAAAUGUAAAUCUUACUGUUACUGUCAUACAGUUCAGGAGUAAAUAGGCUUUAGAUUCUAGAAGUGGUCUCAAUCCAGACUGAUAGCAGGGCAGGAAUGAAAGCAUUUAAUCAUAUCAUGGAAUAUUCACUACAAGGUUAUUAGUCAUAUAUGAAAGCAUCCUCCUCUCAAUAGACAUUUACAUAUAUGAAUCAAGAUAUGUAAGUAAAUUUACAAGAAGCUAGUUUUUUGUGUGCUUCAAAUAGCUAUUGAUCAGGAUAUGAGUCAUACACGGUGAGCAACCUCAGUAAUUUUCAUCAGGUUGUAAUUAUAUUUUUGAGAAUCCUACAUAUAUCUAUUAGUCAUAAAGUUUCCUUCUGUAUAAUACUUUCUGGUUAUGAACAUUAAGGCUGACCUAAUAUGAAGUAUAUUUACAAAAGAAAUGCUAUAUGUGGCUCAUAAUAGGACUGCAAGCCAUUCAAACAGUACAUUAACUCCACAUUUUAAUAGUAUCAAAGUGCUUCCAGCCCGGAGAUAUAAUCCAAACGUCAGUUAAAACCAGGGAGUAUAGUAAUUUUGAUCAGAUUUGAAUCAUAUCCUGGAAUAUCCAAAACACAGCUAUUAGUCAUAUCUCAAAGUUUCCUGCCAUGGAUACCACACGUAUAAUGCUUUCCAGAUAUUAACAUAUAUGGGGUGAGACAUUUUGGUAGUAUCAUGUGAUAUGCUCACGCCAGAAAUGUGAUGUGUCUGGCAUUCAAAAUACAGCACCAGUCAUAUCAGAGAAAUAUCUUAACUCCAUAUUCUGAUAGCAUCAAAGUGGUCCCAAUCCCAAUAUGAUCCAGAAAUAAGUCAUAAACUUUGAAUAUCCACAGUCACUUUGAUCAGAUUUGAAUCAUAUCUAUAAUUAUCCGACAGAAGGUAGGGAUUAAAGUUCUCCGUCGUUACGAUAGAUUUCUGUCAGAAUCCAUAGAGACCAUUUAUGAAAUCAGAGUAGAUCCGAGGAAAAGAGAUGUGGUGAUGGGGAGUUGUUGAGAGAGAAAGAGAGAGAGGUAACUUCCCAUUCAUCCUCUAUCUCAUUUGUGGACUUUGAUGUUGUAAAAACCAGAUGUUCUUCACUGACACACUCAGGAGCCAGUGGGAAUCUCAUAUCUCAAUGUUUCCUGCCAUGGAUCCCACACGUAUAACACUUUCGCGAGAUAAGUUAUGCUCCAGAUAUGAUCUUACAAUGCUGUGGUCGGAGAGUAUCUAACACAGAUUUCAUCAUACAUGGGUUAUAGUUCGAAAUAUCCGAACAAAACCAUCUCUGGAUUCUGGGGUAUUUUGCACAGUGCCCUACCUUUGGAGUGGUCAUAAAGUCUGAAUGUGUCCAUCCCUCAAUUAUUUAUAUUCCUUUAGUCUGUAAGGGUCCCGUGCCGCCAGAGGUGUUCAUGGUAGAGGCAGGACACCCAGCACAUCAGGCUCUCCUCAUGCUCCCCACGCAGCAAAACAGUGGUGGCAUUAGGGGUGGAGGAAAAAAGAAAAUCGAUUCUAAGAUGCAUCCCACUGCGGACGUGGAAGAUUCUGCAUCGAUUCACAAAUGUCAAAAAUUGAUUUUCUAAAUGUUAGUUAAUAAUGUGAUGUUCACAGUAUGAAAAGUCAGAACUCAAGCCUAUAGGUCUGUAAUUUUAUACAGGUGUGGUUGACAAAAUGUGGAAGUUACGUGGUGAUUUGCAUAGUUCUGGCAUAAAACAUGUCGUAAUUAUUGUUAUUCAAAAAUGACUUAUUAAAGACAAGGACCAAAAAACUUUUUUGAGCCAUGUUUGUAUUUAAGCCCAUGCUUGGCUAAAACUGUUUCUUCAGAAACUAGAAGAUGUUACCUUUCAA